This 502-nucleotide ribosomal RNA is filed under the name uncultured bacterium. RNAcentral's name for it is "partial 16S ribosomal RNA". It matches the Rfam family "Bacterial small subunit ribosomal RNA", at positions 28 to 506 of the family's 1533-position model. The record is from RNAcentral.
GACGAACGCUGGCGGCGUGCUUAACACAUGCAAGUCGAACGGUGAAGCGCUUUCCUUUUUGGUUGGUGUGGAUGAGUGGCGAACGGGUGAGUAACACGUGAGUAACCUGCCCCCUUCUUCUGGAUAACCGCAUGAAAGUGUGGCUAAUACGGGAUAUUCUGCGCCUGCUGCAUGGUGGGUGUGGGAAAGAUUGUGCCUUUGGGUGUUUUCGGUGGGGGAUGGGCUCGCGGCCUAUCAGCUUGUUGGUGGGGUGAUGGCCUACCAAGGCGGUGACGGGUAGGCGGCGUGGGGGGGUGGACGGUAAAAUGGGGACGGGGAAACGGCCCAGACUCCAACGGGGGGAAGCAGUGGGGAAUAUUGCACAAGGGGCGAAAGCCUGAUGCCGCGACGCCGGGUGGGGGAUGGGGGCCUUGGGGUUGUGAACCUCUUUCGCAAGGGAAGCAGGCCUGCUCCUGGUGGGUGGGUUGAGGGUAGUGGGAAAAGAAGGCCCGGCUAAUUACGU